UGAGUGUGAUACCAACGCAGAUCUGGAUCCACUGAUUUCUGACUUGAACAGUAAAGGCAAACUGACUGUCACCGUGACGCUUGGCUGAAGAUUUCCAAGGUAGUGAUUAAUUGGAAGAUAACGCACGAGUAACAUGUGAUUGGACCGUCAAGCAUAACGUGUCAACAUUGUCAAGGUGACCCUCAUCAGACCACGUGAUGGCAGCAGACUACUACGGAGUCCGACUUGAAAAUGAAACCUGUCGAAUGUGGAUGCAACCAGGGCAAUCAGGCUACCCGAUUAGCUAAUCAUACUAAUUGGAGGAUCAUUAGAGUUAACGGUUAUGGCAUACAGAAUCUUAAGCAAUUAUUGAUUAUACCCUGUCUUGAUACUUCAUGAAUAACUUAUAUUUGUGGUCGAAGCACAUGGAGCCCCAAAAAUUUGACGCCUUGUGUGCCCUCACCAUUUAAUAUAAUAAAAAGGGGGCUUUCUGAUGAUGGAAAUAUGAUGGAUUAUUAUGUUUAAACAGUCUAUGCAAUACAAAAUACAGCAUAAAAUUAUACAGCGUACAACCAACAAGCUAUGUUUUAACUUGGGCUCCUUCAUUUCCUCAUUUCCAAUUUUACUGAAGUCCUUAAUUUACAAGUAACUACAAA
Strongylocentrotus purpuratus (purple sea urchin) is the source of this 635-nucleotide long non-coding RNA. RefSeq lists it as uncharacterized. Lineage: Eukaryota; Metazoa; Echinodermata; Echinoidea; Camarodonta; Strongylocentrotidae. The record is from RefSeq and is a predicted model, not a curated record. The transcript is spliced from 2 exons.